This 440-nucleotide ribosomal RNA is filed under the name uncultured bacterium. Its description in RNAcentral is "partial 16S ribosomal RNA". It matches the Rfam family "Bacterial small subunit ribosomal RNA", at positions 338 to 795 of the family's 1533-position model. The record is from RNAcentral.
CCUACGGGAGGCAGCAGUGGGGGAUAUUGCACAAUGGGGGAAACCCUGAUGCAGCGACGCCGCGUGGGUGAAGAAGCGCCUCGGCGCGUAAAGCCCUGUCAGCAGGGAAGAAAAUGACGGUACCUGAAGAAGAAGCCCCGGCUAACUACGUGCCAGCAGCCGCGGUAAUACGUAGGGGGCACGCGUUAACCGGAUUUACUGGGUGUAAAGGGGGCGCAGACGGGGAUGCAAGCCAGGAGGGAAAGCCCGGGGCCCAACCCCGGGACUGCUCUUGGAACUGCGUGGCUAGAGUGCAGGAGGGGCAGGCGGAAUUCCUGGUGUAGCGGUGAAAUGCGUAGAUAUCAGGAGGAACACCGGUGGCGAAGGCGGCCUGCUGGACUGCAACUGACGUUGAGGCCCGAAAGCGUGGGGAGCAAACAGGAUUAGAUACCCCUGUAGUC